CUGACCUCAUAUCGGGCGAAAGGU
RNAcentral lists this ribosomal RNA (24 nucleotides) under Lactarius mexicanus. RNAcentral describes it as "partial 28S ribosomal RNA". The record is from RNAcentral. Lineage: Eukaryota; Fungi; Basidiomycota; Agaricomycetes; Russulales; Russulaceae.